GCAAAACAAAAGAGAGACGGCAUCAGGUAGUUGGUUGAUAUCAAAGGUGGAGUCAUUUACAAGGGUUGUCUGUUGGCUGCUGUUUAGGCCUUAGGGAAGAAAGGCCAAUCAUAGUUAGUGAGGGAGGGGCCUAACACCCCCAUCCCAUCACGACUGAGCAUUUCAUUUUCAAGGUUACUCUGGGGUCCCCUAAGUCAAGAGAUGGUCUGUUUAGUCAGUUGCAGGGUUUAGGCUUUUAUUUUUAUUUCUCACUUCUUUAUUUUAUUCUAUCUAGAAAGGGGACCUCACAACAGUAAGGACUUCACUUUGUUCCCUGUUAUGACCUCAGUGACUGAAAUACUGCCAGGAGUAUAGGAAAUGCUAAAUGAAUAUCUGAUGAAAUCAUGAAUAAAUGGUAUUUCCAAAAUCAGAGGCAUGGUAAUAAACACACCCAACAUUUAUCUGAUAUUUAUGUUAUGCAUUUUAACUAUUUUUGCCAUAUUGAGGCCUCCUCAUAUAUUAUCAUAUUUUACCACAAUUUAAAUAAUGGAUCAUAUUCUGAUAUUCUGAUUAAUGAUCACAUUCAUUUUGACAAUUUAGUUUUUGAACUUUUAUACUAUAUAACUUAAAAAGGCCAUAAUCUACUUUAAUUACCUUCAUAGAUUAUUAAGUAUAAAUUAAAUUUUUAUACAAUAUUUGGAUUAGGUAGGUGGUACAAUAUCUGUUUUAACCUAGAAGCAUGAAAAAGUCUUAAAAAGUAAAUUAAAAAGUAAAAUCAGUGUUUUAAAAAUAUAUAUGAGAACAUGAAUAAUUUUUUCACAUUUUUUCAUCUAAUUUUCAUUUGGAGAAAAUAAAUUUAUUAUGAAAUUAUUCUAAUAAAAUUAUUCAAACACACACUUAGGUGAUAAUUAUUUUGUUCAUCACCAAACUUACUACAUUUACACUUAGAGACCAGUGAACAUAUGUACCAUUACCUUUGGAAAGAAUGUCUCCUCAUAUUGUGUUUUUACUUUCUAGACAUAACCAGCAUCUUGCCAUCACACUGAAAAGAUCACAAAUUACACAGUGUUGACUUAAAUAUUAGCAUGACAUCGAGACUGUUUUUAAUAAAAGGGAGAAUAAAUCAUUGAAUUUGAGUACUGAAGUUGAAAACUAGCCACAUUUGUUAUAAAUUCCUCUUUAAAAAGUAGUCUUUUCUACUUUGAUUUUUUUGUUUUCUUGAUUUCACCCCUCAUAUAGAAGUUUGAUACUUCAAAAUUUUUUUCUUCUUAUAUUAUUUAAUUUGUCACACAGACUAGGAAAUAAGAGGAACAUAAUAACUAAACAGUGCAAGCUUAGAUUCUUUGAGUCUA
Molecule: long non-coding RNA, 1331 nt
Filed under: Callithrix jacchus (white-tufted-ear marmoset)
Lineage: Eukaryota; Metazoa; Chordata; Mammalia; Primates; Cebidae
Description: lncRNA (ENSCJAG00000086034.1)
Source: RNAcentral